GACGUAGGUGGCAAGCGUUGUCCGGAUUUACUGGGCGUAAAGGAUGCGUAGGCGGACAUUUAAGUCAGAUGUGAAAUACCCGAGCUUAACUUGGGUGCUGCAUUUGAAACUGGGUGUCUAGAGUGCAGGAGAGGUAAGUGGAAUUCCUAGUGUAGCGGUGAAAUGCGUAGAGAUUAGGAAGAACACCAGUGGCGAAGGCGACUUACUGGACUGUAACUGACACUGAGGCACGAAAGCGUGGGGAGCAAUCAGG
RNAcentral lists this ribosomal RNA (253 nucleotides) under uncultured bacterium. Its description in RNAcentral is "partial 16S ribosomal RNA". It matches the Rfam family "Bacterial small subunit ribosomal RNA", at positions 524 to 776 of the family's 1533-position model. The record is from RNAcentral.